GUUUAUUUGAUAGUACCUUACUACAUGGAUACCUGUGGUAAUUCUAGAGCUAAUACAUGCUGAAAACCUCGACUUCGGAAGGGGUGUAUUUAUUAGAUAAAAAACCAAUGCCCUUCGGGGCUCCUUGGUGAAUCAUAAUAACUUAACGAAUCGCAUGGCCUUGCGCCGGCGAUGGUUCAUUCAAAUUUCUGCCCUAUCAACUUUCGAUGGUAGGAUAGUGGCCUACCAUGGUGGCAACGGGUAACGGGGAAUUAGGGUUCGAUUCCGGAGAGGGAGCCUGAGAAACGGCUACCACAUCCAAGGAAGGGAGCAGGCGCGCAAAUUACCCAAUCCCGACACGGGGAGGUAGUGACAAUAAAUACUGAUACGGGGCUCUUUUGGGUCUCGUAAUUGGAAUGAGUACAAUCUAAAUCCCUUAACGAGGAACAAUUGGAGGGCAAGUCUGGUGCCAGCAGCCGCGGUAAUUCCAGCUCCAAUAGCGUAUAUUAAAGUUGUUGCAGUUAAAAAGCUCGUAGUUGAACCUUGGGUCUGGCUGGCCGGUCCGCCUCACCGCGAGUACUGGUCCGGCUGGACCUUUCCUUCUGGGGAAUCUCAUGGCCUUCACUGGCUGUGGGGGGAACCAGGACUUUUACUGUGAAAAAAUUAGAGUGUUCAAAGCAGGCCUUUGCUCGAAUACAUUAGCAUGGAAUAAUAGAAUAGGACGUGCGGUUCUAUUUUGUUGGUUUCUAGGACCGCCGUAAUGAUUAAUAGGGAUAGUCGGGGGCGUCAGUAUUCAGCUGUCAGAGGUGAAAUUCUUGGAUUUGCUGAAGACUAACUACUGCGAAAGCAUUCGCCAAGGAUGUUUUCAUUAAUCAGGGAACGAAACUUAGGGGAUCGAAGACGAUCAGAUACCGUCGUAGUCUUAACCAUAAACUAUGCCGACUAGGGAUCGGACGGUGUUUCUAUUAUGACCCGUUCGGCACCUUACGAGAAAUCAAAGUUUUUGGGUUCUGGGGGGAGUAUGGUCGCAAGGCUGAAACUUAAAGAAAUUGACGGAAGGGCACCACCAGGCGUGGAGCCUGCGGCUUAAUUUGACUCAACACGGGGAAACUCACCAGGUCCAGACAAAAUAAGGAUGGACAGAUUGAGAGCUCUUUCUUGAUCUUUUGGAUGGUGGUGCAUGGCCGUUCUGAGUUGGUGGAGUGAUUUGUCUGCUUAAUUGCGAUAACGAACGAGACCUCGGCCCUUAAAU
This 1231-nucleotide ribosomal RNA is filed under the name Aspergillus niger. Its description in RNAcentral is "SSU rRNA". It matches the Rfam family "Eukaryotic small subunit ribosomal RNA", at positions 115 to 1356 of the family's 1831-position model. Lineage: Eukaryota; Fungi; Ascomycota; Eurotiomycetes; Eurotiales; Aspergillaceae. The record is from RNAcentral.